UACGUAGGGUGCAAGCGUUAAUCGGAAUUACUGGGCGUAAAGCGUGCGCAGGCGGUGAUGUAAGACAGUUGUGAAAUCCCCGGGCUCAACCUGGGAACUGCAUUUGAAACUGGCGGGCUUGAGUGUGGCAGAGGGGGGUGGAAUUCCGCGUGUAGCAGUGAAAUGCGUAGAGAUGCGGAGGAACACCGAUGGCGAAGGCAGCCCCCUGGGCCAACACUGACGCUCAGGCACGAAAGCGUGGGGAGCAAACAGG
This 253-nucleotide ribosomal RNA is filed under the name uncultured bacterium. Its description in RNAcentral is "partial 16S ribosomal RNA". It matches the Rfam family "Bacterial small subunit ribosomal RNA", at positions 524 to 776 of the family's 1533-position model. The record is from RNAcentral.